AAUAUUGCACAAUGGAGGGAACUCUGAUGCAGCAACGCCGCGUGAGUGAAGAAGGUUUUCGGAUCGUAAACCUUUGUCAUCGAGGACGAUAAUGACGGUACUCGAGGAGGAAGCCCCGGCUAACUACGUGCCAGCAGCCGCGGUAACACGUAGGGGGCGAGCGUUGUCCGGAAUUACUGGGCGUAAAGGGCGCGUAGGCGGCCUAAUAAGUCAGAUGUGAAACCCCCGGGCUUAACCCUGGGCUUGCAUUUGAAACUGUUGGGCUUGAGGACAGGAGAGGAAAGCGGAAUUCCCAGUGUAGCGGUGAAAUGCGUAGAUAUUGGGAGGAACACCAGUGGCGAAGGCGGCUUUCUGGACUGUAACUGACGCUGAGGCGCGAAAGCCAGGGUAGCGAACG
RNAcentral lists this ribosomal RNA (397 nucleotides) under uncultured bacterium. RNAcentral describes it as "partial 16S ribosomal RNA". It matches the Rfam family "Bacterial small subunit ribosomal RNA", at positions 360 to 774 of the family's 1533-position model. The record is from RNAcentral.